GGCGUCCGAGUUGUAAUUUGUAGAGGAUGCUAUUGGGUUGCCACCGGUCUAAGUUCCUUGGAACAGGACGUCACAGAGGGUGAGAAUCCCGUACGUGACCGGCCAGGCGCCCUCCGUAUAGCUCCUUCGACGAGUCGGGUUGUUUGGGAAUGCAGCCCUAAAUGGGAGGUAAAUUUCUUCUAAAGCUAAAUACCGGCCAGAGACCGAUAGCGCACAAGUAGAGUGAUCGAAAGAUGAAAAGCACUUUGGAAAGAGAGUUAAAAAGCACGUGAAAUUGUUGAAAGGGAAGCGCUUGCGAUCAGUCUCGACGGCGGCCGUUCGGCCUCUCUUCUGAGUGGUUUAUUCGGUCGCCGCCGGGCCAGCAUCAGUUUCGGCGGUCGGACAAAGGCGUGGGGAAUGUAGCUCCCUCGGGAGUGUUAUAGCCCCGCGUGCAAUACGGCCCGCCGGGACUGAGGUCCGCGCUUCGGCUAGGAUGCUGGCGAAAUGGUCGUAAGCGGCCCGUCUUGAAACACGGACCAAGGAGUCUAACAUCUACGCGAGUGUUUGGGUGUCAAACCCGUGCGCGCAAUGAAAGUGAACGGAGGUGGGAACCGCAAGGUGCACCAUCGACCGAUCCUGAUGUCUUCGGAUGGAUUUGAGUAAGAGCGUAGCUGUUGGGACCCGAAAGAUGGUGAACUAUGCCUGAAUAGGGUGAAGCCAGAGGAAACUCUGGUGGAGGCUCGCAGCGGUUCUGACG
Molecule: ribosomal RNA, 736 nt
Filed under: Elsinoe annonae
Lineage: Eukaryota; Fungi; Ascomycota; Dothideomycetes; Myriangiales; Elsinoaceae
Description: eukaryotic LSU rRNA
Rfam family: Eukaryotic large subunit ribosomal RNA
Source: RNAcentral